UUUAUAAAAUUUUAAACCUUAAUUCCAAAACCUCACCCCCUUAACUCUAAACCCUAAGGUUUGGAUUAAUUAACCCAAUGGGUAUAAGUGUAUAUUUACCUCUUUAAUGAAACCUAUUUUUGUGACUUUGAACCUUGAGUGCUAUUUUGGGAACAAAAACUUGGUUUAGUGCUAUCCUAGUAUUUUUCUCUUUAAAAAAUUGACUGUUGCUUUAGAAAAAACCUAAAGCCAUAAUUUGUUGUUUUUGGAAACCAUUUACUAAGAGUAAAUUCAGUUAUUGUGGCUUUGAGAAUUUUAAGGAAAAUUUUUGUGGGGCGUAUUAGAUUGGGAAUUUUAUAAAAUUAUAGGUUUUUGUCAAAUCCUCACUUAUUGGAUUAGGAAUUUAUAAAAAACUUUAUAAAUCCUCUUUUAUUGGAUGUAGCAUUUAUAAAAACCUUAUAAAGUUUCCCCUUAUUGAAAAAAAAUGGAUUUGAUCAGUGAGAUUCAUCAAAAAAUAUUUUUGAAUAUUAAAAACUAUCAUUUAUCCUUCAAAUCCAAUAAAAAAAUACCAUCUAAAGAGAUGGAAUUUGAGACAAACAUUUAUUUCAUAUUUACCACAAGAGAACUUAUAAGAAAUUGGAAGAGAUCAACUCAAACUUUUCUCACCAUCAUCGAUCUGAGAGGUGGUUCCUAUGAUGAGCUAACAACGGAGGUCUCAACGAGAAGAUGAUGAUGUGCGACGUCUCACCUUCUCGACCCUCCUCGCAGAAAUCCAGUUUGCAGCAAAUCAAAGAUAUGAUUCUUACACUGAAGAAUCUGAGUUCAGUAGAGGAAUCAUUGAUUAUAUGUAUGGUUUGGAUAUGUCUAGCAACGGAUGGUGUCAUCCCAUCAAAACUUGGAGAACUCUCAAAACUACGAGCUAUGAAUCUAUCUCGCAAUUUCUUGUGGCAACUCUUUGAUUUGUUUCCAAUGGAUUCCAAAAAGAUGGAUAUUGGCUCUAAAGAUUUGAUCAGCAGUCUACCAGACGUAUUUAUCUGCCACAUCUUAUUCCUCUCCAUAAAAGAUGUUGCUUUGACUUCAAUUCUCACGAAAAGGUGGAGAUGUCUGCUAGCUUUUGUAACAAUCUCGAUCUUGAGAACACCAUCUACGACCUUACUAAAAUGGGUAGACAGAAAAGGCUUCAUUUGCGUAAAAGCUUUAAGCUUUUGUGGAUAGAGUCAUGGCCUUGCAAAGGACGCUCCGUUGAACAAAAUCUCUCUAUGGUGUAGAAUCGGUUCUGGUCCAUCUCGUGUCAAUGGUUGGAUAUUCAAGGUGUUGGAGUGUUGUGUUUUUAUCUUGAUAUAUACAUCUCUUCGGCAGACAAGUAUCCAUUUCCUCGACAGGUUCUGACGAGCAAGACGUUGGUUAAGCUGAAAGUAGGAGGUACAUAUGAGUUUGUCAUUGAUGUCAAAGAAUUUUCUCUUCUAAAGCUCAAGACUUUGCAUAUGAAUGCUGUUUCUUUCGCUGAAGAGAAUGUUAUAAUAUGAAUGAAUCAGUGUUAAAACAAACAAGAACUUCCCAAUGUGAAAGCCAUAACAGCAACUAUGUUACCAUAGAGAAUUUAUUCAAGUCCA
Brassica rapa (field mustard) is the source of this 1592-nucleotide long non-coding RNA. RefSeq lists it as uncharacterized. NCBI's taxonomy places the organism in Eukaryota, Viridiplantae, Streptophyta, Magnoliopsida, Brassicales, Brassicaceae. The record is from RefSeq and is a predicted model, not a curated record.